UUCGGGGGGAAGCACGUGUGUAUGCAGCGGGAUUAUGUUUUGGCAGUUUCGGGGGAGCUUUCGGAAAUAAUGUAGGUCCCUACAUAUCGCCCAUCAACUAACAGCUACAGCAGCAGCAGCAGCAGCAGCAGCAGCAAAGUGCCGAGAAAUUGGUUUGCUUUUUAUUAGAAAAUUCCAAAACAUAUAAGACACCGAGGAUUUUGCAGGGACGGGAUGGCGAUGGGAAGAUUUCUGUGUGUCGUUUUUUUUUAGAUGGUUGGGAUAAUUUGACAUUUUGACCAGCGCUGCUGAUUGGAUAUUGAGAACGCUCCGUGUGUGACACCAUUUCUGCUGUGCUUGACUUUUUAUGCAAAUGUUGUGAUGAGCCAACAGUGUAGAAGAUGAUUUAAAGGUUUUUUUUUUCGGAUGGUUUUAGGAAUUUAUUGAUGUGAAACAGCUUAGAGUUCAAACUAAAUUUUGAAAUAAAACUUAACAGCGAUGUUUCUAUUUCAGCACUAGCAGAAAGCUUAAAAAAGGAAAUUAAUUGGCUUCGUCGGUGCACUAUUUCAUUAGUUUACUGUGAUUGUAAUCAUGAGUAGGAUGAUGCAUGUCAGCCAUUUUGACGGCCAUCUCAGGGUCCCUAGAUGUUUCACAUUAAGAGUGUAGCCGCUAUUGGAGUAACAAAGACAUUUUGCAAAUACAGUUGACUCUCCACAUAUCGAUAUCGAAGGGACCAUCGA
Aedes aegypti (yellow fever mosquito) is the source of this 719-nucleotide long non-coding RNA. RefSeq lists it as uncharacterized. The record is from RefSeq and is a predicted model, not a curated record. The transcript is spliced from 2 exons. Lineage: Eukaryota; Metazoa; Arthropoda; Insecta; Diptera; Culicidae.